CCUACGGGGGGCAGCAGUGGGGAAUAUUGGACAAUGGGGGCAACCCUGAUCCAGCCAUGCCGCGUGUGUGAAGAAGGCCCUCGGGUUGUAAAGCACUUUCAGUGAGGAAGAACGCCUGGUGGUUAAUACCCAUCAGGAAAGACAUCACUCACAGAAGAAGCACCGGCUAACUCCGUGCCAGCAGCCGCGGUAAUACGGAGGGUGCGAGCGUUAAUCGGAAUUACUGGGCGUAAAGCGCGCGUAGGUGGCUUGAUAAGCCGGUUGUGAAAGCCCCGGGCUCAACCUGGGAACGGCAUCCGGAACUGUCAAGCUAGAGUGCAGGAGAGGAAGGUAGAAUUCCCGGUGUAGCGGUGAAGUGCGUAGAGAUCGGGAGGAAUACCAGUGGCGAAGGCGGCCUUCUGGACUGACACUGACACUGAGGUGCGAAAGCGUGGGUAGCAAACAGGAUUAGAUACCCCAGUAGUC
This 465-nucleotide ribosomal RNA is filed under the name Vreelandella stevensii. RNAcentral's name for it is "partial 16S ribosomal RNA". It matches the Rfam family "Bacterial small subunit ribosomal RNA", at positions 338 to 795 of the family's 1533-position model. Lineage: Bacteria; Pseudomonadati; Pseudomonadota; Gammaproteobacteria; Oceanospirillales; Halomonadaceae. The record is from RNAcentral.